RNAcentral lists this transfer RNA (68 nucleotides) under Ceratostoma burnetti. Its description in RNAcentral is "tRNA-Gln". The record is from RNAcentral. Lineage: Eukaryota; Metazoa; Mollusca; Gastropoda; Neogastropoda; Muricidae.
UUACAUAGCGGUGUAAGGGCACGAAGAAUUUUGAUUUCUUAAGAGAGGUUCAGAACCUCCUAGUAAAG